ACGCGAAGAACCUUACCUACUCUUGACAUCCAGAGAACUUUCCAGAGAUGGAUUGGUGCCUUCGGGAACUCUGAGACAGGUGCUGCAUGGCUGUCGUCAGCUCGUGUUGUGAAAUGUUGGGUUAAGUCCCGCAACGAGCGCAACCCUUAUCCUUUGUUGCCAGCGGUUCGGCCGGGAACUCAAAGGAGACUGCCAGUGAUAAACUGGAGGAAGGUGGGGAUGACGUCAAGUCAUCAUGGCCCUUACGAGUAGGGCUACACACGUGCUACAAUGGCAUAUACAAAGAGAAGCGACCUCGCGAGAGCAAGCGGACCUCAUAAAGUAUGUCGUAGUCCGGAUUGGAGUCUGCAACUCGACUCCAUGAAGUCGGAAUCGCUAGUAAUCGUAGAUCAGAAUGCUACGGUGAAUACGUUCCCGGGCCUUGUACACACCGCCCGUCACACCAUGGGAGUGGGUUGCAAAAGAAGUAGGUAGCUUAACCUUCGGGAGGGCGCUUACCACUUUGUGAUUCAUGACUGGGGUG
This 523-nucleotide ribosomal RNA is filed under the name uncultured Serratia sp. Its description in RNAcentral is "bacterial SSU rRNA". It matches the Rfam family "Bacterial small subunit ribosomal RNA", at positions 959 to 1482 of the family's 1533-position model. Lineage: Bacteria; Pseudomonadati; Pseudomonadota; Gammaproteobacteria; Enterobacterales; Yersiniaceae. The record is from RNAcentral.